GACUUGUAGUCAUUUAGAGGCCGGUUCUGUUUCCAUAUGAAGUGAAGUUCGGCUGGACAGGAAGCCGAACAGAACCCGAUAAAUUCUCUUAAUUAAGUGGGCAACAGCUGCUCCAUCAUGGCUCCACAUCCUGUAGUCCAGGCAGUGAUCGAUUUCUCAGCUGGAGCAAUAGGGGGUACGGCGUGCGUGCUGAGCGGUCAGCCGUUUGACACAGCCAAAGUGAAGAUGCAGACGUUUCCCACCAUG
This is a long non-coding RNA of Nematolebias whitei (Rio pearlfish), 246 nucleotides long. RefSeq lists it as uncharacterized. The record is from RefSeq and is a predicted model, not a curated record. The transcript is spliced from 3 exons. NCBI's taxonomy places the organism in Eukaryota, Metazoa, Chordata, Actinopteri, Cyprinodontiformes, Rivulidae.